Molecule: transfer-messenger RNA, 401 nt
Filed under: Elizabethkingia sp. JS20170427COW
Lineage: Bacteria; Pseudomonadati; Bacteroidota; Flavobacteriia; Flavobacteriales; Weeksellaceae
Also listed under: 1 other name
Rfam family: transfer-messenger RNA
About the family: Bacterial tmRNA, also known as 10Sa RNA or SsrA, is named for its dual tRNA and mRNA-like properties. Its role is to liberate the mRNA from a stalled ribosome.
Source: Rfam by way of RNAcentral
GGGGCUGACUGGUUUCGACAGCAGUGUCGGUGGGUAGGUAAGCAUGCAGAGAACCGUAGCGCGAUCUCUUUAAUCCCUUGCUACAAAAUUUUAACUGGCAACGAAGAGUAUGCUCUUGCUGCUUAAUCCGAAGUAUAGUAAGAUUAGCGUUUUUCCCGAAGUAUAGUAAGGAAACAAGAUGUCUCACCAAAGUUCUGUUCUGCAACGUUGGAAACUGAGGCAUAGGAAAUGCGGAAAUAAGCUUUUGGAAUCUUUGGCUAAAAGACGAAAACCUUAAAAGAUAAGCAUGAAGUUGAGUGUUUACUCUCUGCUUGAUGACGAAAACCAAUAGUAAACUAAGCAUGUAGAAAGCUUAUGUGCUGCCUGUUUGGACGAGGGUUCGAAUCCCUCCAGCUCCACAA